Molecule: ribosomal RNA, 468 nt
Filed under: uncultured bacterium
Lineage: Bacteria
Description: partial 16S ribosomal RNA
Rfam family: Bacterial small subunit ribosomal RNA
Source: RNAcentral
GAUGAACGCUGGCGGCGUGCUUAACACAUGCAAGUCGAACGGUGAAGGCGGAGCUUGCUCUGCUGGAUCAGUGGCGAACGGGUGAGUAACACGUGAGCAAUCUGCCCCUGACUCUGGGAUAAGCGCUGGAAACGGCGUCUAAUACUGGAUACGAGCUGCGAAGGCAUCUUCAGCAGCUGGAAAGAACUUCGGUCAGGGAUGAGCUCGCGGCCUAUCAGCUUGUUGGUGAGGUAACGGCUCACCAAGGCGUCGACGGGUAGCCGGCCUGAGAGGGUGACCGGCCACACUGGGACUGAGACACGGCUCAGACUCCUACGGGAGGCAGCAGUGGGGAAUAUUGCACAAUGGGCGAAAGCCUGAUGCAGCAACGCCGCGUGAGGGACGACGGCCUUCGGGUUGUAAACCUCUUUUAGCAGGGAAGAAGCGAAAGUGACGGUACCUGCAGAAAAAGCGCCGGCUAACUACGUG